AAACCCUAUCGGCCAUUGGGGGGGCGUGGCCAGUGCAGAGUGGGCGUGGCCUCUGUCUCCCAUUGACUGCAGCAGGAGGGCGUGGUCGAGCCAAGCCACGCCCACACAGACAGAAAAAGCCGUGCUUCCAUUGGUUCCCAUCACAGGGGAGGGGGGCGGGGCUUUGCGGUGUGGGCGUGGCUUCAGCUCCUCAUAGCUCAUAUGGGGGGCGUGGCCAUGACAGAGUGGGCAUGGCUUCGGCUUGGUGGGCGUGGUUGGGAAAGGCUGGGCGUGGCCUGGAAAUUGUGGGCGUGGCUUGGGCGAUGUGGGCGUGGCUUUCAUAGGGGUGAACAGGGCCAUGUCCGUGUGGGCGUGGCUUUAACACGAGUGGGCGUGGCCUGGGCUAUUGUGGGCGUGGCUUGGGGCCGCGUAGGCGUGGCUUUGAAGGGGACGGUUUGGCCAUGGCCGUAUGGGCGUGGCUUUCCCAGGGGUGGGCGUGGCUUGAGACCGCGUGGGCGUGGCUUUCACGCGACUGGGCGUGGCCUGGGCUUUUGUGGGCGUGGCUUUAACAGGGGCGGGCAUCGCCUCGGCCGUGUGGGCGUGGCCUGGUCGGGGUGGGCGUGGCCUUGGCCCCGUGGGCGUGGCUUUCACACGAGUGGGGGUGGCCUGGCAAUCGUGGGCGUGGCUUUCACACGAGUGGGUGUGGUUUGGGAAUCGUGGGCGUGGCUUGAGACCGUGUGGGCGUGGCCUGGUCGGGUUGGGCGUGGCCGUGGCCCCGUGGGCGUGGCCUGGGAAUCGUGGGCGUGGCUUGUGACCGCGUGGGCGGGGCCUGGGCGGGGUGGUGGGCGGGGCUCCGGGCAGCCCAACCAAUCGCGGAGCAGGGAUUUGGGGUAACCCGGGGUGACGCGAAGCUGGCGGUUGUCGAACUGCCAAUAGCGGGAGCCCUUCACAAAGUACGUGUAGGCUGAGGGUCAUUAGGGGUCAUUAGGGGUCAUUGGGGUCACGAGGGGUCAUUUGG
This 997-nucleotide long non-coding RNA is filed under the name Phasianus colchicus (ring-necked pheasant). RNAcentral describes it as "lncRNA (ENSPCLG00000017320.1)". Lineage: Eukaryota; Metazoa; Chordata; Aves; Galliformes; Phasianidae. The record is from RNAcentral.